GAUGAACGCUGGCGGCGUGCCUAAUACAUGCAAGUCGAGCGAACAGACGAGGAGCUUGCUCCUCUGACGUUAGCGGCGGACGGGUGAGUAACACGUGGAUAACCUACCUAUAAGACUGGGAUAACUUCGGGAAACCGGAGCUAAUACCGGAUAAUAUAUUGAACCGCAUGGUUCAAUAGUGAAAGACGGUUUUGCUGUCACUUAUAGAUGGAUCCGCGCCGCAUUAGCUAGUUGGUAAGGUAACGGCUUACCAAGGCAACGAUGCGUAGCCGACCUGAGAGGGUGAUCGGCCACACUGGAACUGAGACACGGUCCAGACUCCUACGGGAGGCAGCAGUAGGGAAUCUUCCGCAAUGGGCGAAAGCCUGACGGAGCAACGCCGCGUGAGUGAUGAAGGUCUUCGGAGCGUAAAACUCUGUUAUGAGGGAAGAACAAAUGUGUAAGUAACUAUGCACGUCUUGACGGUACCUAAUCAGAAAGCCACGGCUAACUACGUG
RNAcentral lists this ribosomal RNA (497 nucleotides) under uncultured bacterium. Its description in RNAcentral is "partial 16S ribosomal RNA". It matches the Rfam family "Bacterial small subunit ribosomal RNA", at positions 28 to 507 of the family's 1533-position model. The record is from RNAcentral.